GACCUACUGACAAGAUUCCGUCCACAUCCGAAAGGGCCCAAAACACGUUUGAUCAAUAAAAAGCGAAAAGCGGACAGCAUUUCACUCUCUGCCUCAUUUACGUACGAGAAUCGUUAAUGUUUACUGCACUCGACGCGACGAUGACCUAGUUGACCUGUUCACGACAAUGACUUCACGCCUGACUGACGGACUCGUACGAUACGUGGAAAUCACUUUCUGAUAACAACUUGUCGGCAGGUAAGAUCACCCCAGAUAUUACUUACGAAUGUGUCAAAUAAUAGCAGCUUGACGAUUAAGGUCACUUAACGUGUCUUCUGUUCGACGACAGCACAAAUAUUCAUAGACCCCUGCACCACAGUCGCAAUGUAUGUCCCGUACCUGCCACUGCUGCAGACUGACUGAUAGACGAGAGGGGUACGUAUCGAUGACUGUGGUUAAUCAGCGUGCGGCGGAGGCUCCCUCUCCUCCUUUGCGUACGUAAGGAAAAAAAAGAUUCUGCUUAUGGUUUCUCUCGAACGGCGGGGGCCGGCAGUUGGACGGUGGAGGGGUGGGGGGAAAGAAAGAAAAAGGUAGAGAAGACUCUCGGCUGCAUUUGACCUACAUUAACAGGCGGGAGAGCUAGGUGGGGAGCGGAUAUGGAGAAAGGACUGAAACCUAUAGAAAUGUGUGUACAAGGAGGUGGGAUGGUGGAAAGGAGAGGGAAGAGAAUGCUAUGAAGAGGUAGAUACGGCAUAGGUAGGGAGGAACGGAGAAAGUGCGCGCUGAAAUGGAGAAAGCAGGCGAAAAA
Long non-coding RNA from Daphnia carinata, 787 nucleotides. RefSeq lists it as uncharacterized. NCBI's taxonomy places the organism in Eukaryota, Metazoa, Arthropoda, Branchiopoda, Diplostraca, Daphniidae. The transcript has 2 exons. The record is from RefSeq and is a predicted model, not a curated record.